RNAcentral lists this long non-coding RNA (414 nucleotides) under Dromaius novaehollandiae (emu). Its description in RNAcentral is "lncRNA (ENSDNVG00000004770.1)". Lineage: Eukaryota; Metazoa; Chordata; Aves; Casuariiformes; Dromaiidae. The record is from RNAcentral.
UUUCUCAGGGUUCUUUUUUUGUUUGUUUGUUUCUAGUCUGGAUCAUCUGGAAUUUGUGAGGAAGGGAAGAGGAGCCUUUGCUCAGCUUGUAGAAGCUUGGAAACUGUUUCCUGGGAAUUACCUCCGCCUGCUGUCGCCCAGCCACUGCAGGACUUUGAGUUUACAGACAAGCUGCAGUAGAUGAACUGUGAAGAGAGACGGUGAGGAUUUGAUCUGAUGCACUGAAGCAUACGGGAUUUUAAAAGACCUGGUGAAUCCUGAUCUACCUGACUCGACAUGAUUUGUUACUGACCUCAGUGAAGCCAGGAUUUUACUGUGAUGUAUGUUUGCUGCCUGGAAGAGAAUUUGAUUAGACUCCAGGAAUUUCCUUACAUUUUGAGGAGAAUGGAUGUGAGGCAGCACUGGGGCAUGGCA